CUUAAUACAUGCAAGUCGAACGCUUCUUUUCCCACCGGAGCUUGCUCCACCGGGAAAAGAGGAGUGGCGAACGGGUGAGUAACACGUGGGUAACCUGCCCAUCAGAAGGGGAUAACACUUGGAAACAGGUGCUAAUACCGUAUAACAAUCGAAACCGCAUGGUUUCGUUUUGAAAGGCGCUUUACGGUGCCGCUGAUGGAUGGACCCGCGGUGCAUUAGCUAGUUGGUGAGGUAACGGCUCACCAAGGCCACGAUGCAUAGCCGACCUGAGAGGGUGAUCGGCCACAUUGGGACUGAGACACGGCCCAAACUCCUACGGGAGGCAGCAGUAGGGAAUCUUCGGCAAUGGACGAAAGUCUGACCGAGCAACGCCGCGUGAGUGAAGAAGGUUUUCGGAUCGUAAAACUCUGUUGUUAGAGAAGAACAAGGGUGAGAGUAACUGUUCACCCCUUGACGGUAUCUAACCAGAAAGCCACGGCUAACUACGUGCCAGCAGCCGCGGUAAUACGUAGGUGGCAAGCGUUGUCCGGAUUUAUUGGGCGUAAAGCGAGCGCAGGCGGUUUCUUAAGUCUGAUGUGAAAGCCCCCGGCUCAACCGGGGAGGGUCAUUGGAAACUGGGAGACUUGAGUGCAGAAGAGGAGAGUGGAAUUCCAUGUGUAGCGGUGAAAUGCGUAGAUAUAUGGAGGAACACCAGUGGCGAAGGCGGCUCUCUGGUCUGUAACUGACGCUGAGGCUCGAAAGCGUGGGGAGCAAACAGGAUUAGAUACCCUGGUAGUCCACGCCGUAAACGAUGAGUGCUAAGUGUUGGAGGGUUUCCGCCCUUCAGUGCUGCAGCUAACGCAUUAAGCACUCCGCCUGGGGAGUACGACCGCAAGGUUGAAACUCAAAGGAAUUGACGGGGGCCCGCACAAGCGGUGGAGCAUGUGGUUUAAUUCGAAGCAACGCGAAGAACCUUACCAGGUCUUGACAUCCUUUGACCACUCUAGAGAUAGAGCUUCCCCUUCGGGGGCAAAGUGACAGGUGGUGCAUGGUUGUCGUCAGCUCGUGUCGUGAGAUGUUGGGUUAAGUCCCGCAACGAGCGCAACCCUUAUUGUUAGUUGCCAUCAUUUAGUUGGGCACUCUAGCAAGACUGCCGGUGACAAACCGGAGGAAGGUGGGGAUGACGUCAAAUCAUCAUGCCCCUUAUGACCUGGGCUACACACGUGCUACAAUGGGAAGUACAACGAGUCGCGAAGUCGCGAGGCUAAGCUAAUCUCUUAAAGCUUCUCUCAGUUCGGAUUGUAGGCUGCAACUCGCCUACAUGAAGCCGGAAUCGCUAGUAAUCGCGGAUCAGCACGCCGCGGUGAAUACGUUCCCGGGCCUUGUACACACCGCCCGUCACACCACGAGAGUUUGUAACACCCGAAGUCGGUGAGGUAACCUUUUUGGAGCCAG
This 1434-nucleotide ribosomal RNA is filed under the name Enterococcus mundtii. Its description in RNAcentral is "bacterial SSU rRNA". It matches the Rfam family "Bacterial small subunit ribosomal RNA". The record is from RNAcentral. Lineage: Bacteria; Bacillati; Bacillota; Bacilli; Lactobacillales; Enterococcaceae.